RNAcentral lists this unclassified non-coding RNA (162 nucleotides) under uncultured Cryptococcus. Its description in RNAcentral is "sequence contains ITS2". The record is from RNAcentral. Lineage: Eukaryota; Fungi; Basidiomycota; Tremellomycetes.
AGACUCAAUCCCUCGGGUUUCCGAGGAGAUUGGACUUGGGUGUUGCCGCUCUGCCGGCUCGCCUUAAAAGACUUAGCGGGAUAGCACCGUAGUCGGCGUAAUAAGUUUCUCGUCGGUGAAGGUUGUGAUGACUGCUUACAAUCGCCCUCGGGCAAUUUUUGA